RNAcentral lists this ribosomal RNA (740 nucleotides) under uncultured bacterium. RNAcentral describes it as "bacterial SSU rRNA". It matches the Rfam family "Bacterial small subunit ribosomal RNA", at positions 57 to 792 of the family's 1533-position model. The record is from RNAcentral.
GCAGUCGACGGUAACAUGGAUUGCUUGCAAUCUGAUGACGAGUGGCGCACGGGUGCGUAACGCGUAUAGAACCUACCCUUUACUGGGGGAUAGCCCGGAGAAAUUCGGAUUAAUACCCCAUAGUAAUACUUUGUGGCAUCACAGGGUAUUUAAAGUUUCGGCGGUAGAGGAUGGCUAUGCGUCUUAUUAGCUAGUAGGCGAGGUAACGGCUCACCUAGGCUACGAUAAGUAGGGGCCCUGAGAGGGGGAUCCCCCACACUGGUACUGAGACACGGACCAGACUCCUACGGGAGGCAGCAGUGAGGAAUAUUGGACAAUGGUCGAGAGACUGAUCCAGCCAUGCCGCGUGCAGGAAGACGGCCUUAUGGGUUGUAAACUGCUUUUAUACGGGAAGAAUAAUACCCACGUGUGGGUAGAUGACGGUACCGUAAGAAUAAGGACCGGCUAACUCCGUGCCAGCAGCCGCGGUAAUACGGAGGGUCCGAGCGUUAUCCGGAAUUAUUGGGUUUAAAGGGUCCGCAGGCGGGCCAGUAAGUCAGGGGUGAAAGUUUGCGGCUUAACCGUAAAAUUGCCUUUGAUACUGCUGGUCUUGAGUUGCGGUGAAGUGGCUGGAAUAUGUGGUGUAGCGGUGAAAUGCAUAGAUAUCACAUAGAACACCGAUUGCGAAGGCAGGUCACUAACCGCCGACUGACGCUGAUGGACGAAAGCGUGGGGAGCGAACGGGAUUAGAUACCCUGGUA